AGAGUUUGAUCCUGGCUCAGAACGAACGCUGGCGGCGUGCCUAAUACAUGCAAGUCGAACGAGAAAGCACCCUUCGGGGUGUGAGUAAAGUGGCAGACGGGUGAGUAGUACGUAGGUAACCUGCCUUUGAGUGGGGAAUAACCUUCCGAAAGGAGGGCUAAUACCACAUAAGACCACAGUCACCACGGUGACAGGGGUAAAAGAUGACCUCUACUUGUAAGUUAUCACUUAAAGAUGGGCCUACGCACCAUUAGCUUGUUGGUAGGGUAACGGCCUACCAAGGCUGCGAUGGUUAGCUGAUCUGAGAGGUUGAUCAGCCACACUGGAACUGAGACACGGUCCAGACUCCUACGGGAGGCAGCAGUAGGGAAUUUUGCGCAAUGGGGGAAACCCUGACGCAGCGACGCCGUGUGAGCGAUGAAGGCCUUCGGGUCGUAAAGCUCUGUCAGAGGGGACGAAAAACAAUAUGGCUAAUAUCCAUGUUGCUUGACGGUACCUUCAGAGGAAGCACCGGCUAACUACGUGCCAGCAGCCGCGGUAAUACGUAGGGUGCUAGCGUUGUUCGGAAUCAUUGGGCGUAAAGCGCGUGUAGGUGGUAAUGCAAGUCGGGCGUGAAAGCCCUCGGCUCAACCGAGGAAGUGCGCUCGAAACUACAUUGCUAGAGGACGGUAGAGGGAGGUGGAAUUCCUAGUGUAGAGGUGAAAUUCGUAGAUAUUAGGAGGAAUACCGGUGGCGAAGGCGGCCUCCUGGGCCGUUCCUGACACUGAGACGCGAAAGCGUGGGUAGCAAACAGGAUUAGAUACCCUGGUAGUCCACGCCGUAAACGAUGAGUACUAGGUGUUGUGGGUCUUGACCCCCCCAGUACCGUAGCUAACGCAUUAAGUACUCCGCCUGGGAAGUACGGUCGCAAGAUUAAAACUCAAAGGAAUUGACGGGGGCCCGCACAAGCGGUGGAGCAUGUGGUUCAAUUCGAUGCAACGCGAAAAACCUUACCUGGGUUUGAAAUCCCCGGACAACCCUAGAGAUAGGGCUUUCCCUUCGGAGACCGGGUGACAGGUGCUGCAUGGCUGUCGUCAGCUCGUAUCGUGAGAUGUCGGGUUAAGUCCCUUAACGAGCGCAACCCUUGUCCUUAGUUGCCAUCAUUUAGUUGGGAACUCUGAGGAGACUGCCGGUGUUAAACCGGAGGAAGGUGGGGAUGACGUCAAGUCCUCAUGGCCCCUAUGUCCAGGGCUACACACGUGCUACAAUGGCCGGUACAGAGGGAUGCCAACCCGCGAGGGGGAGCUAAUCUCAGAAAGCCGGUCUCAGUUCGGAUUGGAGUCUGCAACUCGACUCCAUGAAGUUGGAAUCGCUAGUAAUCGCGAAUCAGCAGGUCGCGGUGAAUACGUUCCCGGGCCUUGUACACACCGCCCGUCACACCACGAAAGUUAGUUGCACCAGAAGUCAUUGUACCAACCUUCGGGAGGAAAGUGCCCAAGGUGCGAUUAAUGAUUGGGGUGAAGUCGUAACAAGGUA
This 1515-nucleotide ribosomal RNA is filed under the name metagenome. Its description in RNAcentral is "bacterial SSU rRNA". It matches the Rfam family "Bacterial small subunit ribosomal RNA". The record is from RNAcentral.